GUAGGUGGCAAGCGUUGUCCGGAAUUAUUGGGCGUAAAGCGCGCGCAGGCGGUCCUUUAAGUCUGAUGUGAAAGCCCACGGCUCAACCGUGGAGGGUCAUUGGAAACUGGGGGACUUGAGUACAGAAGAGGAAAGCGGAAUUCCGAGUGUAGCGGUGAAAUGCGUAGAGAUUUGGAGGAACACCAGUGGCGAAGGCGGCUUUCUGGUCUGUAACUGACGCUGAGGCGCGAAAGCGUGGGGUGCAAACAGGAUUAGAUACCCUGGUAGUCCACGCCGUAAACGAUGAGUGCUAAGUGUUAGGGGGUUUACCCGCCCCCCUUAGUGCUGCAGCUAACGCAUUAAGCACUCCGCCUGGGGAGUACGGCCGCAAGGCUG
Molecule: ribosomal RNA, 375 nt
Filed under: uncultured organism
Description: partial 16S ribosomal RNA
Rfam family: Bacterial small subunit ribosomal RNA
Source: RNAcentral